Molecule: long non-coding RNA, 440 nt
Organism: Malaya genurostris
Lineage: Eukaryota; Metazoa; Arthropoda; Insecta; Diptera; Culicidae
Exons: 2
Source: RefSeq, a predicted model, not a curated record
AUCACUUGGCAAAAUUUUUCAUUCCCAUUUAGAUUUCCCACGAGACAAGAAGUAAAUUUUUGUCCUUUUCUCUGGAAAAAGAUCUGUUCGUUUGGUAAAGAAGUAUUUGGUUCCUGAAAUUCAAUAUGGAGCAUCGCAUGUCCAACAAGCAAAGCACAGCCACUUCGAACCACCAGGAGCCUAUGGAUGCGGGACGUCGUCGGCGCCGCUCGCCGGCUCGAUCCCGGUCACGUUCUAGACCCGCUUCGCCAAGCCGGCGUCGACGUUCUCGAAGCCGUUCCCGUAGCCGUUCUCGUCGGGCUGGACGUCGCAUGUAGUCGAAAUCUCCGCGCUCCACACGUCAGUCGAGGCAUAGCGACAGUUCGUGAAAAUUCGGUCCAAACCAAACAAUGUCUCACGAAAUCAAAAGUCAAUAAAUAGUUUCCAGUCGGAGAAAUAGU